UAAUCAAGCAUGUGUUGGUCAACAACCUUGUGAGAAUGGGGUAGAGAACAUUCAAGGACUAGAAUGUUCCCCAAAGUUAUGAAGGAAUCUGAUGCCUGGGAUGGCCCAGGGAACCAGAAUGACUCAAAGCCCAAGAAGAUCCUCUAUAUUCACCACCUCCCCAGGGUCCUGGGGUCCUUCAUACUUGGUCCUCGUGCUUGGAUUUUUUUUCUCUCCUUCCUGCUCCCCAGUGCCUUCUGCCGGAUUGGGGAAAUUCCACGAUAGCCAACAGUGCCACCAGGUACCCAUAACUGGAGAAGAGGAAGGAACGGACUGGCCAGUCAGAGGGAAGGGCAGGGCCCCAAGUCUCGGCCCAAAAGACAGAAGGGCCCCAGAGGGAAAGUCCCCAUGCUAGAGCAUCCUGUCUCCCCCAGGGUGUGGCAGGUGCUGACUCAGGUUGGCAUCUCUAGGGGAAGAGAUGUAGGGAAAGCAACCAGGAAACAGGGCUGAAAAGCUGGAAAAUCUUCUUGAACCAGAACUAGAGUCUCUGCAUUGCACGGUGGUUGGUGAAGUUGACAGCAUUGCCCAGAGCACUGGUGGGACUGGGAACGUGUCUGGCAGGGCCUGGGUGGCAGCCUGUCUGCUGCACAACUCCAUGGUAUGCCUUGGGCUUGGGGCGUAUACACUGUGAGCGGUGCCAGGAGGUAGGCAGUCCUGAGGUUCUAGGCCUGCAUGAGAAACAGAAGCCUUGGAACGAAGUGAGACUGCGGGGGCCUAGGGAAGGAAGGGAUGCUCUGGCUAGGAGAUGAGAGCAGGGGACAGAGGACAGUCCCAGGAAGGAGGAGCUGCUUGCUUUGGGGAGGACCCUGCCCUUACCUCUUUCCUGUUCCAUUCAUUCAUUCAACAGUGACUGAGUGCCCCUGUGCUGGGCACCAUGCUGGGCACGGAGGCCAAACACGGACACAUGGAGCUUAUGGUCCUGAGAGGGGCUGUCGCACAGAACCCUCUGAGUGUUGGGAACAGUGUAGAGAGGCAGUCAAGUAAUCCUAUAAGCAAAUGUAAAAUUACAGCUCUGCCCUUAGGGAGGUGUGUGUGGUGCUGGGUGAGCUCCUAUGGGGGUGGGUGAGGUUUCCCAGGAAGGGAGCUUGGAGCUGGGGCUGCAGGUAUGGGGGAGGAGCCCUGGCUUGGGGCUCGGACACACAUCUCCUCUGUGCUUCUCCAGAAGCAGGGCCUGUGUUGCCCUCUUUCAGCUCAUCCUGUGGGCGUACAGCCCCUCUGCUUCUGCUCCUGCCAUGACCUACCGAGAAGGCUGGUUUGAUCGCAUGUCUCCUCACCUGCCUGCCCCAUGGUGGUUGCUCAACAAACAUUUACAUAAUUCAGCCAGUCAGUCCUUGAGCAGUAAUCACUGAGCACCAAUACAGCUCACCCCACGGCACUGACCAAGACUGCCAAGGGCCCUGCUCUCGUAGAGCUUACACUCAAGCUGGGGAGACUGACACUGUAGAAGCAAAUACACACAAAAGACGAUUUCAUCAAGUCAUAAAAACAACAACAGGAAUGGGGUAAAGAGCUGGACUUUGCCUCUGGCAGACACUUUAACAGGAAUGGCAGGGGUAGAGAAGAACUGAGCCUUGCCCAGAUGGGAGAUGAAGAGACCACAUAUUUCUCAUUCUCGAGGUCAAGGAGACCUUUCCAACUACACAUGUGCAGAAAGGCUCCUUGGGGGCCAAAAAGGGAGGGGGCAUCACCCCAUAGUAGGUGACGUCAGUCUACCCAUAGGCCUCUUCACUAGAAUCCAUCUUGGCUGAGAUGCGCAUGCACACAUGGGAGGACCCUGAGAUAAACCAAAUAUGGACUCAGAGCCAGACAAAGCAAGAUGAUUGGCCAAAGGAAACCCGGAAGAAAUGCCCCAUAUAAGUGAUUCAAACUACCACGAGGGUGCGACUCUCUGAGUCCACCCAUGUGAGUCUUAUUCACAUGUACACUUUUUUCCUCCUAAUAAACACUUUACUUGUUUCA
Molecule: long non-coding RNA, 1998 nt
Organism: Orcinus orca (killer whale)
Lineage: Eukaryota; Metazoa; Chordata; Mammalia; Artiodactyla; Delphinidae
Exons: 2
Source: RefSeq, a predicted model, not a curated record